AAUCAACGCUGGCGGCGUGCCUAACACAUGCAAGUCGAACGAGAAGGUGACUUCGGUCACUGGAUAGUGGCGUCCGGGUGAGUAACACGUAGGUAAUCUACCUUCGGGUGGGGAAUAACGUCUCGAAAGAGACGCUAAUACCGCAUAAUGCAGCGGCACCUAAUGGUGAUUAGUUGUUAAAGCGGGGGAGUCUUCGGACCUCGCGCCUGAAGAGGAGCCUGCGGCAGAUUAGCUAGUUGGUGAGGUAAUGGCUCACCAAGGCUUCGAUCUGUAGCUGGUCUGAGAGGACGGCCAGCCACACUGGCACUGACACACGGGCCAGACUCCUACGGGAGGCAGCAGUGGGGAAGUUUUGGGCAAUGGGCGAAAGCCUGACCCAGCAACGCCGCGUGAAGGAGGAAUCCUUCGGGAUGUAACUUCAUAAGUAAGGGAAGAAAGCUGCGGAUCGAAUAAGU
Molecule: ribosomal RNA, 455 nt
Filed under: uncultured bacterium
Lineage: Bacteria
Description: bacterial SSU rRNA
Rfam family: Bacterial small subunit ribosomal RNA
Source: RNAcentral